RNAcentral lists this microRNA precursor (187 nucleotides) under Oryza nivara. RNAcentral describes it as "MIR812 microRNA precursor family". It matches the Rfam family "MIR812 microRNA precursor family". The record is from Rfam by way of RNAcentral. Lineage: Eukaryota; Viridiplantae; Streptophyta; Magnoliopsida; Poales; Poaceae.
CGUACGAAAAGCUAGACAAAAACAUCUUGAAUUUUUAUAAUAGUAGAGAUUAGUAUUUUAUUGUUAUUAGAUAAUAAAACAUGAAUAGUACUUUAUGUGUGACUGAUUCUUUUUAUUUUUUUCAUAAAUUUUUCAAAUAAGAUGGACGGUCAAACGUUGGACACAGAUACCCAUGGCUCCACUUAUU